GGAAGCGAGAUCGAGAGAUGGAGCAAAUCCCAAAAUAAACGUCCCNGUUCGGACUGUAGUCUGCAACCCGACUACACGAAGCUGGAAUCGCUAGUAAUCGCGGAUCAGAAUGCCGCGGUGAAUACGUUCCCGGGUCUUGUACACACCGCCCGUCACACCAUGGGAGUCAGUAACGCCCGAAGUCCGUAGCCUAACCGCAAGGGGGGCGCGGCCGAAGGUGGGUUCGAUAAUUGGGGUGAAGUCGUAACAAGGUAAC
RNAcentral lists this ribosomal RNA (256 nucleotides) under uncultured bacterium. RNAcentral's name for it is "partial 16S ribosomal RNA". It matches the Rfam family "Bacterial small subunit ribosomal RNA", at positions 1245 to 1500 of the family's 1533-position model. The record is from RNAcentral.